GCAACCCUUCCGCCCCCCUGCGUAUUCGGCGAGUAGGUUGGUUUCCUGUCACAAGGGCGUGGGCUCCGUGCUACGCGCGGAAUUCGCGGCGACCAAAGGGAAUAACAGCUGUGCCCUCAAGGAGCUUACAUGAAGUUAUGCACAACAAACAAUUGCUAACGCCCUAUAAAGUCAAAAUAUGACCGGUGUUUAAAGAUGAGUAAAAACUUCCUUAGGGACCAAACCAGCAAGUAGACUCAGCUUUGGAAGUCAUCACCCUGGUCCACCUUGAUGUGUCAGCACCACAGAGAGCAGCUUACUUCAUACCCAACCCUGUAAUGCUUGAGUCACUCAAAUGGUGGUAAAGAGGCAAACUAGAUUGUUUCUAAUCGGUGUGAGAGCUGAGGAAUGCAUAAUGGGAAGACUGCUGAGGCUACUUAGAGAUGCCUCUCCCAGUACUCCUUCAGGAUGCUGCUUCCAUCUAUGUUAAGCCCUGGGUCAACUCUGCAGAGAGGCCCCCAGUUACACAGGUUCCUUCUGGCCCAGAGUGACCCCCCUGUGGAUGACUGCCGAGUGAGAGCAUGCAUGAUUACCAGAGGUUGCCCAAGCUCCAAAGGAAGCACUCCAUGAUCAACAACCCUGACACUACGUGGAAAUGGACACGACUGAUGAAUGUGAAAAGGAAUCAUUGAAAUGGAAAAUCCUGGAGCUGAAAGUGGCCUUAUCCAACUCUACUCUGUGAAUUUUGUAUUUUUUCUUUUAUUUAUUCAUCAUCUCAACAGACAUUUUUUGCAAAUAUACUACAUGCAAAGCACUACAUUGGGUGCUAGGAAGAGAACUGUGAACAAG
Molecule: non-coding RNA, 828 nt
Organism: Kogia breviceps (pygmy sperm whale)
Lineage: Eukaryota; Metazoa; Chordata; Mammalia; Artiodactyla; Physeteridae
Source: RefSeq, a predicted model, not a curated record